CCGCCUAAACCCGUAGUUCCGAACUUGUGUUCUCUUUGGUGCACAAGUUUGAUUCUUCGGGUAGAGGCUGU
RNAcentral lists this microRNA precursor (71 nucleotides) under Leptotrombidium deliense. Its description in RNAcentral is "mir-10 microRNA precursor family". It matches the Rfam family "mir-10 microRNA precursor family". From Rfam's summary of the family: In this case the mature sequence comes from the 5' arm of the precursor. The record is from RNAcentral. Lineage: Eukaryota; Metazoa; Arthropoda; Arachnida; Trombidiformes; Trombiculidae.